Molecule: transfer RNA, 67 nt
Filed under: Trapelus ruderatus (Baluch ground agama)
Lineage: Eukaryota; Metazoa; Chordata; Lepidosauria; Squamata; Agamidae
Description: tRNA-Ile
Source: RNAcentral
GAAGUGUGCCCGAGAAUUAGGGACUAUUUUGAUGGAGUAGCUACAGAGAUUAAACCUCUCACUUCCA